CUUUUUUUUGUAGUGAUAAUCCACCUCGGUCAUAUCGUAGCGGUGCUUAGACGAAGCCCUGCGUCGGUAGCAUCAUCAUCUCCGUCAUCACGCUGUCGUGCUGACGGAACUCUCCUUCGAAACUCUGCUGGAUCGGAGUUCGUGGGACGUCACCGAGCUGAAUGUGUGCUGAACUCGGAGGUGCCGUGCGUUCGGUACUUGGAUCAGUCAGAUCGUGAAGACGUACGACUACAUCAACCGCGUUCUCAUAACGCUUCCGCUUACGGUCUACGAGGGUAUGUGGACGACACGCUCCCCUCUUGUUGCUAUGCAUCACCAUGAUCUUGCGUGUGCGUAGGAAAAUUUUGAAAUUACUACGUUCCCCAACAGUGGCAUCCGAGCCAGGUUUAUGCGUAGAUGUUAUAUGCACGAGUAGAACACAAGUGAGUUGUGGGCGAUACAAGUCAUACUGCUUACCAGCAUGUCAUACUUUGAUUCGGCGGUAUUGUUGGAUGAAGCGGUCCGGACCGACAUUACGCGUACGCUUACGCAAGACUGGUUCUACCGACAUGCUUUCACACAGGUGGCUGGCGGGUGUCAGUUUCUCCAACUUUAUUUGAAUCGAGUGUGGCUACACCCGGUCCUUGUGAAGGUUAAAACAACACAUACUUGAUGAAAUAUCGUUGUGGUUUUGAUGCAUAGGUAAGAACGGUUCUUGCUCAGCCCAUAGCAGCCACGUAAAACUUGCAACAACAAAGUAGAGGACGUCUAACUUGUUUUUGCAGGGCAUGUUGUGAUGUGAUAUGGUGAAGACAUGAUGCUAAAUUUUAUUGUAUGAGAUGAUCAUGUUUUGUAAUCGAGUUAUCGGCAACUCGCAGGAGCCAUAUGGUUGUCGCUUUAUUGUAUGAAAUGCAAUUGCCAUGUAAUUGCUUUACUUUAUCACUAAGCGGUAGUGAUAGUCGUACAAGCAAUAGUUGGCGAGACGACAACGAUGCUACGAUGGAGAUCAAGGUGUCGCGCCGGUGACGAUGGUGAUCAUGACGGUGCUUUGGAGAUGGAGAUCAAAGGCACAAGAUGAUGAUGGCCAUAUCAUAUCACUUAUAUUGAUUGCAUGUGAUGUUUAUAUUUUAUGCAUCAUAUUUUGCUUAGAUCGACAGUAGCAUUAUAAGAUGAUCUCUCACUAAAUUUCAAGGUAUAAGUGUUCUCCCUGAGUAUGUACCAUUGUGGAAGUUCGUCGUGCCGAGACACCACGUGAUGAUCGGGUGUGAUAAGCUCUACGUUCACAUACAACGGGUGCAAGCCAGUUUUGCACACGCAGAAUACUCGGGUUAAACUUGACAAGCCUAGCAUAUGCAGAUAUGGCCUCUGAACACUUAGACCGAAAGUUCAAGCAUGAAUCAUAUAGUAGAUAUGAUCAACAUAGUGAUGUUCACCAUUGAAAACUACUCCAUCUCACGUGAUGAUCGGACAUGGUUUAGUUGAUAUGGAUCACGUGAUCACUUAGAUGAUUAGAGGGAUGUCUGUCUAAGUGGGAGUUCUUAAGUAAUAUGAUUAAUUAUACUUUAAUUUAUCAUGAACUUAGUACCUAAUAGUAUUUGCUUCUCUAUGUUGUUGUAGAUAGAUGACCCAUGAUGUCGUUAUGUUGAAUUUUAAUGCGUUCCUUGAGAAAGCAAAGUUGAAAGAUGAUGGUAGCAAUUACACGGACAGGGUCCGUAACUUGAGGAUUGUCCUUAUUGCUGCACAGAAGAAUUACAUCCUGGAAGCACCGCUAGGUGCCAAACCCGUUGUAGGAGCAACGCCAGAUGUUAUGAACAUCUCGCAGAGCAAAGCUGAUGACUACUCGAUAGUUCAGUGUGCCAUGCUUUACGGCUUAGAACUGGGACUUCAACGACGUUUUGAACGUCAUGGAGCAUAUGAGAUGUUCCAGGAGUUGAAGUUAAUAUUUCAAGAAAAUGCCCGAAUUGAGAGAUAUGAAGUCUCCAAUAAGUUCUACAGCUGCAAGAUGGAGGAAAAUAGUUCUGUAAGUGAGCAUAUACUCAAAAUGUCUGGGUAUAACAAUCACUUGAUUCAACUGGGGGUUAAUCUUCCUGCUGAUAGUGUCAUUGACAGAAUUCUUCAAUCACUGCCACCAAGCUACAAGAGCUUCGUGAUGAACUAUAAUAUGCAAGGGGUGGAUAAGACAAUUCCCGAGCUCUUCGCAAUGCCAAAGGCUGCGGAGGUAGAAAUCAAGAAGGAGCAUCAAGUGUUGAUGGUCAACAAGACCACCAGUUUCAAGAAAAAGGGUAAAGGGGAGAAGGGGAACUUCAAGAAGAACGGCAAGCAAGUUGCUGCUCAAGUGAAGAAGCCCAAGUCUGGACCUAAGCCUGAGACUAAGUGCUUCUACUACAAAGGGACUGGUCACUGGAAGCAGAACUGCCCCAAGUAUUUGGCGGAUAAGAAGGAUGGCAAGGUGAACAAAGGUAUAUGUGAUAUACAUGUUAUUGAUGUGUACCUUACUAAUGCUCGCAGUAGCACCUGGGUAUUCGAUACUGGUUCUGUUGCUAAUAUUUGCAACUCGAAACAGGGACUACGGAUUAAGCGAAGAUUGGCUAAGGACGAGGUGAUGAUGCGCGUGGGAAAUGGUUCCAAAGUCGAUGUAAUCGCGGUCGGCAUGCUACCUCUACAUCUACCUUCGGGAUUAGUUUGAUACCUGAAUAAUUGUUAUUUGGUGCUAGCGUUGAGCAUGAACAUUAUAUCUGGAUCUUGUUUGAUGCGAGAUGGAUAUUCAUUUAAAUCUGAGAAUAAUGGUUGUUCUAUUUAUAUGAGUAAUAUCUUUUAUGGACAUGCACCCUUGUAGAGUGGUCUACUUUUGAUGAAUCUCGAUAGUCGUGAUACACAUAUUCAUAAUAUUGAAGCUAAAAUAUGCAGAGUUGAUAAUGAUAGUGCAACUUAUUUGUGGCACUGCCGUUUAGGUCAUAUUGGUGUAAAGCGCAUGAAGAAACUCCAUUCUGAUGGACUUUUGGAAUCACUUGAUUAUGAAUCACUUGGUACUUGCGAACCAUGCCUCAUGGGCAAGAUGACUAAAACGUCGUUCUCCGGAACUAUGGAGCAAGCAACAGAUUUGUUGGAAAUCAUACAUACUGAUGUAUAUGGUCCAAUGAAUGUUGAGGCUCGCGGCGGGUAUCGUAAUUUUCUCACCUUCACAGAUGAUUUGAGAAGAUAUGGGUAUAUCUACUUGAUGAAACAUAAGUCUCAAACAUUUGAAAAGUUCAAAGAAUUUCAGAUUGAAGUGGAAAAUCAUCGUAACAAGAAAAUAAAGUUUCUACGAUCUGAUCAUGGAGGAGAAUAUUUGAGUUACGAGUUUGGUCUUCAUUUGAAACAAUGCGGAAUAGUUUCGCAACUCACGCCACCCGGAACACCACAGCUUAAUGGUGUGUCUGAACAUCGUAAUCGUACUUUACUAGAUAUGGUGCGAUCUAUGAUGUCUCUUACUAAUUUGCCGCUAUCAUUUUGGGGUUAUGCUUUAGAGAUGGCUGCAUUCACGUUAAAUAGGGCACCAUCUAAAUCUGUUGAGACGACGCCUUAUGAACUGUGGUUUGGCAAGAAACCAAAGUUGUCGUUUCUUAAAGUUUGGGGCUGCGAUGCUUAUGUGAAAAAGCUUCAACCUGAUAAGCUCGAACCCAAAUCAGAGAAAAGUGUCUUCAUAGGAUACCCAAAGGAGACUGUUGGGUACAUCUUCUAUCACAGAUCCGAAGGCAAGACAUUCGUUGCUAAGAAUGGAUCCUUUCUAGAGAAGGAGUUUCUCUCGAAAGAAGUGAGUGGGAGGAAAGUAGAACUUGAUGAGGUAACUGUACCUGCUCCCUUAUUGGAAAGUAGUUCAUCACAGAAAUCUGUUCCCAUGACUCCUACACCAAUUAGUGAGGAAGCUAAUGGUGAUGAUCAUAUGACUUCAGAUCAAGCUACUACUGAACCUCGUAGGUCAACCAGAGUAAGAUCUGCACCAGAGUGGUACGGUAAUCAUGUUCUGGAGGUCAUCUUACUAGACCAUGACGAACCUAUGAACUAUGAGGAAGCGAUGAUGAGCCCAGAUUCCGCAAAAUGGCUUGAGGUCAUGAAAUCUGAGAUGGGAUCCAUGUAUGAGAACAAAGUGUGGACUUUGGUUGACUUGCCCGAUGAUCGGCAAGCCGUCGAGAAUAAAUGGAUCUUCAAUAAGAAGACUCAUGUUGAUGGUAAUGUUACUGUCUACAAAGUUCGACUUGUUGUGAAAGGUUUUUGACAAGUUCAAGGAGUUGACUACGCUGAGACUUUCUCACCCGUAGCGAUGCUUAAGUCCAUCCAAAUCAUGUUAGCAAUUGCCACAUUUUAUGAUUAUGAAAUUUGGCAAAUGGAUGUAAAGACUGCGUUCCUGAAUGGAUUUAUGGAAAAAGAGUUGUAUAUGAUGCAACCUGAAGGUUUUAUCGAUCCAAAGGAUGCUAACAAAGUGUGCAAGCUCCAACGAUCCAUCUAUGGACUGGUGCAAGCAUCUCGGACUUGGAAUAAACGUUUUGAUAGUGUGAUCAAAGCAUAUGGUUUUAUACAGACUUUUGGAGAAGCCUGUAUUUACAAGAAAGUGAGUGGGAGCUCUGUAGCAUUUCUAAUAUUAUAUGUGGAUGACAUAUUGUUGAUUGGAAAUGAUAUAGAAUUUCUGGAUAGCAUAAAAGGAUACUUGAAUAAGAGUUUUUCAAUGAAAGACCUCGGUGAAGCUGCUUAUAUGUUGGGCAUCAAGAUCUAUAGAGAUAGAUCAAGACGCCUCAUUGGACUUUCACAAAGCACAUACCUUAAUAAAGUUUUAAAGAAGUUCAAAAUGGAUCAAGCAAAGAAAGGGUUCUUGCCUAUGUUAUAAGGUGUGAAGUUGAGUCAGACUCAAUGCCCGACCACUGCAGAAGAUAGAGAGAAAAUGAAAAAUGUUCCCUAUGCUUCAGCCAUAGGCUCUAUCAUGUAUGCAAUGUUGUGUACCAGACCUGAUGUGUGUCUUGCUAUUAGUUUAGGGGGAGGUACCAAAAUAAUCCAGGAGUGGAUCACUGGACAGCGGUCAAGAACAUCCUGAAAUACCUGAAAAGGACUAAGGAUAUGUUUGUAACACCCACAAUGCGGCUAUAUCUCCCACGUGUCGGGGCACGACUUAGAGGCAUAGCCGCAUGGUAGGCUUAUCGCAAGAGGGGUAAUCUGUAGAGAAAAUUCCUUAUUUGACACUAUCUUAAAAUCUGUUUCCUUAUUUGACACUGGAAAAGUUUUUCUUCCCUAUUUGACACAAGUUCUAAAUUUUAUUCCCUAUAUGACAUUUCCGUCCAUUUUGAGCCUAAAUGACACAUGAAAAGAUUCUUUUGCCCCUCAUGUGGUAUGUGUGUGAGGGGCAAUAGCGCACGCACGCAGCAUCAGUGCGAGGGAAAGAGAACACACGCAGCAACACAUACACAUGUACCAACACACACGCACGCGCGCACACACGCAACAACACGCACGCGCACGUGCACACACACACACGCAACAACAUGCACGCGCACGUGCACACACACACACGCACACACGCGGCAACACACAUGCACGCGCACACACACGCAGCAACACACACGCACACAGCACACACACAUACACACACACGCAGCAGCAGCACACACACAGGCAACACAUAGGCACGCAACAACACACACACACACGCGCGCGCACGUACACACGCAGUAGCAAACACACACUACAGCACACAUGCACACACACACAUGUGCGCGUGCACCCACACACGCAACAGCACACACGUGCGCGCACACACAUACCGCAUGAGGGGCAAAAUCGUCUUUUCAGGUGUCAUUUAGGCUUAAAAUGGACAGAAGUGUCGUAUAGGGAAUAAAAUUUAGGACUAGUGUCAAAUAGGGAAGAAUAACUUUUCCAGUGUCAAAUAAGGAACCAGAUUUUAAGACAGUGUCAAAUAAGGAAUUUUCUCUAAUUCUGUACACAUCCCAUGUACUGAAUAAGAAAGGGAUAAAGAGUUGGCUUACAAUCGCCACUUCACACAAUACAUAAAUAAUUCAUACAUCAUCCAAAGUACAAUCAAAGGUACGACUAUGGAACCAAAAUAAAAGAAGACAACCCCAAAUGAUAGAUCCCCGAUCGUCCCAACUGGGCUCCACUACUGAUCAUCAGAAAAAGAAACAUAAUAACGACCCAAGUCUUCGCCAAAUUCCCACUUGAGUUCGGUAGCAUCACUUGCACUGGUAUCCUCGGCACCUGCAACUAUUUGGAAGUAUCCAUGAGUUAUGGUGACUCGGCAAUCUCACACCCGUGAGAUCAAGACUAUUUAAGCUUAUGGGUAGGAAAGGGUAAUGAGGUGGAGCUGCAGCAAGCGCUAAGCAAAUAUGGUGGCUAACAUACGCAAAUAAGAGCAAGAAGAGAAGCAACGCAACGGUCGAGAAGCUAGAAGUGAUCAAGAAGUGAUCCUGAAACUGCUUACGUUCAAACAUAACUCCAAAACCGUGUUCACUUCCCGGACAUCCGCCGAAAAGAGACCAUCACGGCUACACACGCGGUUGAUGUAUUUUAAUUAAGUUAAGUGUCAAGUUCUCUACAACCGGACAUUAACAAAUUCCCAUCUGCCACAUAAUCGCGGGCACGGCUCUCGAAAGUUUAUACCCUGCAGGGAUGUCCCAACUUAGCCCAUCACAAGCUCUCACGGUCAAUGAAGGAUAUUCCUUCUCCCAGGAAGACCCAAUCAGUCUCGGAAUCCCAGUUACAAGACAUUUCGACAAUGGUAAAACAAGACCAGCAAAGCCGCCCGAUGUGCCAAGAAUCCCGAUAGGAGCUGCACAUAUCUCGUUCUCAGGGCAACACCGGAUAAGAAAUCCGUACAACUAAAACCAACCCUCAAGUUUCCCCGAGGUGGCGCUGCAAGGGGCUCUAGUUCAGACCAACACUUAGAGAAGCACUGGCCCGGGGGGGUUAAAAUAAAGAUGACCCUCGGGUCUGCAGAACCCAAGGGAAGGUAUAGGUUGUUAGGGAAAUGUAAAACCAAGGUUGGGCCUUGCUGGGGGAGUUUUAUUCAAAGCGAACUGUCAAGGGGUUCCCAUAACACCCAACCGCAUUAGGAACGCAAAAUCAAGGAACAUAAAACCGGAACGACGGAAACUAGUGCGGCAAGAGUGGAACAAAACACCAGGCAUAAGGUCGAGCCUUCCACCCUCUACCAAGUGUACAGAUGCAUUAAUUAAAUAAGAGAUAAGUGAUAUCCCAACAUAUCCAUGUACCAACAUGGAACAAACUUCAACUUCACCUGCAACUAGCAACGCUAAAAGAGGGGCUGAGAAAAAGCGGUAACUUAGCCAAAUAACAGUUUGCUGAGAAGGUGGGUUAGAUGAUUGACAUGGCAAUAUGGGAGGCAUGAUAUAACAAGUGGUAGGCAGCGCAACAUAACAAUAGAGCGAACAACUAGCAAGCAAAGAUAGAAGUGAUUUCGAGGGUAUGAUCAUCUUGCCUGAGAUCCCGCAAGGGAGAAGAACGAGUCCAUGAAGAAGACAAACGGAUGUAGUCGAACGAAUCCUCACACCUCCGGAACGAAACCGAAGCUUCGGAGCGUGCGUUUUCGAAGCGCAUCGAGUUCGUCAAGGGAAGUAGUCGUUCACGGCCAUCGUGGAAGUCACGGUACAGGUUCGGGAAGCGGUAGAGAUACUGGUCUUCGACAACGGUCGUCGUACACGUUCCGAGGUCGUGGGUAGAGUUUCUCGCGAUCUCGGCGACGGUAGUGGAAGUAGAUGUUCAUGGCGACGGCAGUAGAAGUAGUGGUAUUAUCGGUCCUCGACAGUAGUGGUACACGUUUCGAAGAGGAACUUGACGAAUCCGGGUAACUUGGGGGUCGACGGUAGUCGUUCACGUUCAUAGUUGCACGAGUUUCUGUAGAUGUUCAGAGUCAUGGUAAGGAACUUGACGCAUCGUUGAACUUGGCGUCCGAGGAAUCCCGCGUAGUACACGAGUCGUAGUCGAACUUGACGGUUCCGUUACACGGUUCUUUGUAGAAGAUAGUCGUACACGGAUCUUCAGCCACGGUAGUUGUACACACGUUCAGAGAGAAACUCGGCAUAACCAAGUACUUGGCGUUCUGGUGUGGUAGUCGUACUUGCGGUCUUGACGGUACAACACGAAACAACACAAGGGUCAGCAGCAAGGAGGCGAUGGUGGUGGUCGAACGAGGCAGGGGCCAGGGGCAGCGAAGCAACAGCAACGUGCGGGCACCGAUGGGCGCCAUGGCCGUGAGGAGGAGGGGCUCUGCACGAGACCAGCAGCGAGGCAUGCAGGCGUGCCGGUGGAUGCAGAGGGUCGCCGGUCAGCGGAGGUACGAUGGUGCGCCGGUAGCAGGAGGCGAAGGCGAAGUGGCUGGCGUCGGCCUUGGCGCGAAGCAAGGAGGCGGAGCUCCUGCUCGAGCAGAGGGCUCGGGCGUGGGUCUUGAGGUGCCGGAGACGGGAACGGGACCCUGCUGGCGGGAUCCGGCCGGGAACGGGCGAGGACGGCGGAGGCCGGUCGGAUCAGGUGGUGGAGACGAGGAACUCCGGCAGGGACGGCGGCAAGGUCACGGGGUCGGGCGCCGCGCCAUGGAGAGGCGACCAAAGGGCAGGAGGCACGGACGCCAAGGCAAGGCGAGCGCAGCGCUGCGUGUGGGGCUGGGAGGCCGCGCAUAGGAGGGGAUGAGGGAGAGGGGCGAUGGGAGAUGGGGAACGAGCGCAGGGGAGCUCCUCUCCCUGGCGAUGCGAGGCGGCGGCAUGAGGAUGGAGGGGAUCGAGGGAGAGAACGAGAGGAGGAGGUCGGGGCUCGAGGCGUAGGAUUAGGAAGGCAGGGGCCGGCUGGGCCUAAAGGGGCAAAUGGGCCGGUGCUGGUGGUUGGGAGGUUGGGAGGCCCAGGUGGCCCGAUAGGCUGGUUGGGCUCCUCUCUCUCUCUCUGUUGUUCUUCUUAUCCAUUUAUAAGAUAUAAAUGGAACUUGCAUAAAUACACAGAGAGGUAGCAGUGGAAUUAGGGAGAGACAAAAAUAGUUCUGGAGUCCUUGGAAUAUGGCCAAUUAAAGAAAAGUGGUGUGAGGAUUUUACAGACUAUAAAUUUAAACAUGUUUGAAUUUAAUCCAAACUUGCAUGAAUUUAUAACUAACCAAACCGAACCCAAGUGGGCUUAAUUUUUAUAGGAUGGCCCUACAUAAUAGAUAUGAUUUAUGGGCACAAGAUGAACAUUUAUAGAGGAAGUAAGAAAACCAAACAUAAUGAAUUGAGUUCAAUAUGUUGAAUUCGAAAACCCUAUCAAUGAGUUCUGGUUGGGACAAAAUUUUACAGGGUGGCUGGACAUAUAAAACUUGCAUUAAGAAGAGGGUUUGGGUAAGAAUUGGAGAAGUGGAAAUGCAACUCAAAUAGAGGAAGAGCAGGGAACGAAGGAAGUAGCACUUUGGGAUUUGGAAACUUGGGCUAAACCAAGUUAAAGUUGAGCAAUGAGUAAAAUACAAAGGAUCAAAGAGAAGGAGUUGCAAUACACAUGAUGCUCAUGGCAACAUGAAUGACCAAAUGCAAUAUGACAAGAGAUAUGCAUGGCAAUGCAAUAUAACCGAUGAUGAACAUGAUGCAAGAAGCAUAAUAUGACAAUGGGACUCAUCAUGAUUAUGGCAUAAACAUAUAGAAAUGAAAUAUGCAAAAACAUUAUGAUAAUGCAACAAACAUAGCAAACACACGACAACAACUAAGAUAAAAGGAAAGCAUCUAGAGCAUCGGUCUUGGGGCGUCACAAUGUUUCUCGUUUAUGGAGGUGACAAAGAGAUCGUCGUAAAUGAUUACGUCAAUGCAAGCUUUGACACUGAUCCGGAUGACUCUAAGUCACAAACCGGAUACGUAUUUAUAUUGAACGGUGGAGCUGUCAGUUGGUGUAGUUCUAACCAAAGCAUCAUGGCGGGAUAUACGUGUGAAGCGGAGUACAUAGCUGCUUCGGAAGCAGCAAAUGAAGGAGUCUGGAUGAAGGAGUUCAUAUCCGAUUUAGGUGUCAUACCUAGUGCAUCGGGUCCAAUGAAAAUCUUUUGUGACAAUACUGGUGGAAUUGCUUUGGCAAAGGAAUUCAGAUUUCACAAAAGAACCAAGCACAUCAAGAGAUGCUUCAAUUCCAUCCGUGACCAAGUCAAGGAGGGAGACAUAGAGAUUUGCAAGAUACAUACGGAUCUGAAUGUUGCAGACCCAUUGACUAAGCCUCUCUCACAAGCAAAACAUGAUCAGCACCAAGACUCCAUGGGUGUUAGAAUCAUUAUUGUGUAAACUAGAUUAUUGACUCUAGUGCAAGUGGGAGACUGGAGGAAAUAUGCCCUAUAGGCAAUAAUAAAGUUGUUAUUUAUAUUUCUUUAUAUUAUGAUAAAUGUUUAUUAUUCAUGCUAGAAUUGUAUUAACCGGAAACUUAGUACAUGUGUGAAUAUAUAGACAAACUAAGUGUCACUAGUAUGCCUCUACUUGACUAGCUCGUUGAAUCAAAGAUGGUUAAGUUUCCUAGCCAUAGACAUGAGUUGUCAUUUGAUUAACGGGAUCACAUCAUUAGAGAAUGAUGUGAUUGACUUGCCCAUUCCGUUAGCUUAGCACUCGAUCGUUUAGUAUAUUGCUAUUGCUUUCUACAUGACUUAUACAUGUUCCUAUGACUUUGAGAUUAUGCAAUUCCUGAAUAUCGGAGGAACACCUUGUGUGCUACCAAAUGUCACAACAUAACUGGGUGAUUAUAAAGUGCUCUACAGGUGUCUCCGAAGGUACUUAUUGGGUUGGCAUAGAUUGAGAUUAGAAUUUGUCAUUCCGAUUGUCAAAGAGGUAUCUCUAGACCCUCUCGGUAAUGCACAUCACUAUAAGCCUUACAAGCAAUGCAACUAAUGAGUUAGUUGCAGGAUGAUGUAUUACCAAACGAGUAAAGAGACUUGCCGGUAACGAGAUUGAACUAGGUAUUAAGAUAUCGACGAUCGAAACUCGGGCAAGUAACAUACCGAUGACAAAGGGAACAACGUAUAUCGUUAUGUGGUUUGACCGAUAAAGAUCUUCGUAGAAUAUGUGGGAGCCAAUAUGAACAUUCAGGUUCCGUUAUUGGUUAUUGACCGGAAACGUGUCUCGGUCAUGCCUACAUAGUUCUUGGCCCCAUAGGGUCCGCACGUUUAACGUUCGGUGACGAUCGGUAAUAUGAGUUUAUGUGUUUUGAUGUACCGAAGGUAGUUCGGAGUCCCGGAUAUGAUCACGGACAUGACUAGGAGUCUCGAAAUGGUCAAAACAUAAAGAUUGAUAUAUUGGAAGCCUAUAUUUGGACAUCGGAAUAGUUCCGGGUGAAAUCGGGAUUUUACCGGAGUGUCGGGGGGUUACCGAAACCCCCCGGGGGUUAAUGGGCCUUGCUGGGCCCUAGUGGAGAGAGAGAGGGGCCGGUCAGGGCAGGCCGCGCGCCCCCUCCCCUUGAGUCCGAAUAGGACAAGGAAAGGGGGGCGGCACCCCCCUUGCCUUUCCCCUCUCCCACUCCUUCCCUCCCCCUUCUAGUGAGACUAGGAAAGGGGAGUCCUACUCCCACUAGGAGGAGGACUCCUCCUCUUGGCGCGCCCUGCUAGGGCCGGCCGGCCUCCCCCCUUGCUCCGUUAUAUACGGGGGCAGGGGGCAUCCCAUGACACACAAGUUGAUCAGUUGAUCUUUUAGCCGUGUGCGGUACCCCCCUCCAUCAUAAUCCACCUCGGUCAUAUCGUAGCGGUGCUUAGGCGAAGCCCUGCGUCGGCAGCAUCAUCAUCUCCGUCAUCACGCCAUCGUGCUGACAAAACUCUCCUUCGAAGCUCUGCUGGAUCGGAGUUCGUGAGUCGUCACUGAGCUGAACGUGUGCUCAACUCGGAGGUGCCGUGCGUUCGGUACUUGGAUCGGUCAGAUCGUGAGGACGUACGACUACAUCAACCCCGUCUCAUAACGCUUCCGCUUACGGUCUACGAGAGUACAUGGACGACACUCUCUCCUCUCGUUGCUAUGCAUCACCAUGAUCUUGCAUGUGCGUAGGAAUUUUUUUAAAUUACUAUGUUACCCAACACAUGCAUACCAAAUAGGGGGCCAAAGUCGACAGCGGUAAUUUGGGGCAUGAAGUCCUCGUGGUUACCCCUGGCAUGGGAGAACCUUUCUUGAGACGCUGGUGCCGCUUGCUUCCUAACACGUGGAAAUAGCAAGCAUGAUAACUGCAUGUUGUCAAGCUCAUAGCUUCACAUAAGCAAAUAGGUAGCAAGUUGGAAGCAUGUGUUGGAGGUGACAUGGCCACAACAUCAAGGUUUAGAUAAGCAAAGAGGAAGCAUGUUGCAUAAUAUUUAUGAUUAAGGAUUUUACCACAUACAAUUUUUAUGAUUACAUGGAAGCAAAUUAUUUUCUUAUAGUGGGAGCAAAUGUUUUUUCUUUAGAUGCAUAUUACCAACUGGGUUGAAGCAUAUGCAUAAUCAUAUGAUGAAACUAAUUCCCUUUUUUCACUCAAAAAUGGUAAUAAUUAUGUUUUUGAUGGAAAUAAAGUUGUAUCACGUUGGAAGCAACAGUCUCGUUGAUGGAAACAAUAUCAUGACCUGGUUUUGUAGAACUUGUUUCCCACUAAAUUUGUGAUAAAAAUAUAUUAAAUUUAAGCACAAUUUAUUAAGUGUGGAAACAAAUUCUCUUAUCGAUGGAAACAUAAUGUGCUUCGUGGUUUUCUUAUGCUUCACCCACGGGUUCAUGUCGCUCCUGGCGACGCCUUCAUGUUUUUGUUUGUGUACACUGGGCGCAAAUACAAUCGAACUAGAUCGAAGCGAUCGUCGGUUGUUGUGGAAGCAAAUAUUUUGGCUGGCCGAAGCAAACAAAUUCUAUCCAGAUGGAAGAAAUCUACAUUGGCAAACAAAUUCUAACCAGACGGAAGCAAUCUCUAUUUUCCAUGGAAGCAAGCAAUUUCCGAGGCCGGCAGAAAAAACAAGAUCAUGUGUACGAGACAAGUAUAGAAGCAAAUCACAUGCAUGGAAAGUUGGAAACAGAUAGCAAGACGCCUAAUCAAUUUGAUAUGCCAUGAUUUAUAGGAGUAGUUGUUAGGAAAUAAACAGAUCGUAAUUACUUCCUCCUUUUCGGUUUAUAGGGCUCAAUUCAAAAAUCUCACCAACCAAGGUAGAUUGUGAGUGGUGGAAUACUUUUUGUAAUUUACAAAAGCACCCAAUUAAUGCUCUUGCUUUCCUAAAAAUUUAUGUUUACCAAUGUAUUGCAAUGCAUGCAUGCAUAAAGUACAUGCAUUGGUCAAUUUUCUUUUAAUACUUGCAUGCAAUUAUUUAACGCAUCUUGGAAUCUGAACUUGUGAUGAGGAACAAUCAAAUUGAGUCUUAUAAAAUGGAAAAACUAAAAUUUUAAGAUAAGCCUUAUAAACCGAAAAGAAGGGAGUAGUACAAAAUCAUGCAUGCGAUAUAAUUAAGGGGUGCACAUUUUAAGGAAGCAAUAGACACACCACUGCAUCACGUGAGGGGGCUCCCAGAUCCGGUGGCUAUCAUGCAUCCCAUCAUACGGUCUAUCACUAGUCUGAUAAAAUGCAACGAUCAGUAAUCUGAUACCUAGCGGCUCCCUUUAAAAAUUGCACUAGCUUGUAUUGGUUCUUCCAUGUCUUCAAGCAAUGCAAAUUUUAUGAAUAUUGUGUGUAACUUGUAUAUAAUGAAUUAUAUGGUUCAUUUUGUUUUUACUAUGACUUGUUUAUUUUUAUUUUUCUACAAAGGUAGGUCAAGUCCAGGAAUUUUAUCUAUUAUAGAUAAAAUGUAUCUCUUCUAAAAGAUAGAUAAUUUUUUUCAACUAAUAUAUGCUCAUCUUUUUUUUAUUAUGUAGGUUGUCUUUUUAUGAUUUUGGAUUACCUUUGUAGGCAGGGAAAUUUUUGUUUUUGCCACUCUAGAUUUUGCCAAUUUUCCUUAUGCCACUUUAGAUUUUGACAUUUCACUUUUACCAUUCUUAGUUUUUGACAAUUAUCACAAUUGCCAUUCCCGUGGCAAAAGCAAAAUGUUGAGAGUGGCAAUUGUGAUAAUUGUCAAAAGCUAAGAGCAGCAAAAAUGAAAUAAAAUUAUUUUGCUUUUGCCACAGAAUGGCAAUUGUGAUAAUUGUCAAAAUCUAAGAGUGGCAAAAGUGAAAUGUCAAAAUCUAGAGUGGCAUAAGAAAAAUUGACAAAAUCUAGAGUGGCAAAAACAAAAUUUUCCCUACUUGUAGGCAUGCUAUGAAUGAAAAAAUCCAUAUGUUUUUGAACACGAUACAAUUGAAAUCGCUCACAUACACGAGCAUACGUUCACUCAUAUAAAGGCACGCACACACACCCUACCCUUAUGAGCACCUCUGAGAGACUGAGAUUGACAAAGUCACCAACAACACCUUCAGUGUCGACGGGAGCGUCUCCUCCCACUAAACGCACAUCGCCGAAAGACCUGAAAUAAAUUCAGGAAAAUGCGAGCACCAAUAUCAAGUCUAGGACUUGUGCUGGUGAUAUCACUGUCCUCCUAACCAUCAAACCAUUGGUUGAUUCACAAACAACAACAAAAACAUAUUCAGUCAAAAACAAGGAAAUUUUGAUUGAUAAAGUUAGAAAAGUUGCUAAUUCCAUUGCCCCCAAUGCAAUCUAGCCAUGUUUAGUAAAAUGUAUCUUUUGUGUGUGUGCUUAUUGGCGUAGUUCGUUCUUGAGUGUUGGAGCUGGUAAAAAACAAUUGUAAAAGCUUGAUUUACUACUAAAAUGAAAAGAACAAAAUAGCAUUUGUCAUAUGCAAAUCCAAUAGCUAGACUAAAACUGACUAGGUUUUAAAAAGAUCGGGUAACUUCUUUUGAACUUCGGCGAGUUUAUCUAAUUAAUAAUCAUAUGCUUUACAAUAAGCGGAAUAAGGAAAUCAGGGAGUUUAUCAUGCCACACCCUUGACUCCUGACCCAAAAAACUAAAACGAGCAUAGUAUGAGCACACUCAUUUACAUCACGCACACAAUGAUUUAUCAUCGCCUUGCCGAAAGAACUCAACAACCUUUCGACAUCGGGUAACUUAGUACCCCUCCUUGUCUCAAAAAAAAAAAACUUGGUACCCCUCCGUUUCUGAAAAGAACGCCUAUAAAUAUUAGCAGGUCAUCCCCUGCUAAAUGGACUUGUGGCCCAUUGGUACGUCUGCUAUGACCCACACUGCCUAAACAGAUUUGCGGCCCAUUGUACGUUUGCUCACUUUCAACUCAGUAUGCUCGACUUUCUCACAUGCACCCGAAUGAACAGUAAAUUAAGAAAAAAAUAUCAAUUAUUUUUUAACUUUUGUGUGAUUAACAUGUUUCAUCUGCGUGCAAAGUUUAAUCAUUUAUAACGCUAUGUGCAACAAUAACAUAAUGGAUGCUCCAAAAAAUUGUUUCUGAAAACAUUUUAGUGUACCAAUUUUGUUCUUUUUUGCUAGACUGCUAUGAAUGCCAUUACAUCACAAAAAAUUGCACAUAGGUAGAAAGCAAAGGAAUGUUUGUUACCAUAAAAAUAAAAAUGAAUUGUUUGCCAUCUUUGUGGAUUUUACUAUUCAUGGUAGGAGCAUUUGAGCUUGGGAAAUAGAAUGACACAUUAAGAGUGAAAUGUUGUCACGGGAUCAUAUCAUGUGGAGAACUGAACUAAGCUCGGAGUCUUUCGACAAAAUAGAUUCACAUACCAGCUGACAGAUACUGAAUGGGCAACGAGCUGCCCAUACAAGCAGCAAAUCCCGCGUAGAUUUAAUUUCCUUCGGAAGAAAACCCAUAAAGAACUGCUAAUCAGCAGCAAAUAUCACAGAAAUAUCAAGUCCAGAUUACCAGCACAUACAAACCAUCCAGAUUACCAGCACAUACAAACCAUCCAGAUUACCAGCACAUACAUAAACCAUCUACUAAACGAGAGCAGAUAGGAGUGACAGAGAUGGAAUCAACAUAUAUGAAUCAAGGGGUGCCCAGCUCGGAUCAGAUACAGAGUUGAAUGAAACAGGCCAAAAGAAUGAUGUAUAGUACAAUGCCGUCACAGCCUCAGCAGGGGAGCACUAAUCAACACGCUCCAAUCACAGAAAGCAAUACAACGAAUGGGUGAUCACCAUUACACGGAUGCAGCUGGAUAAGCCAACCAAAUCAACACGUAAAUCCCUUCCUCUGUGUUGAGAGGAGCGUUGGUCAGAAAAAUCAAGUCAGUUUUUGUACAAACAUCUCCUCUCUGUCUUCCUAGCUACAAAGGAGGAGCAUCAUGCCUUUGGAUGGUCUCCAAAAUCAGCUCCCUACGAAAAAGGCUUGCUUCAUUCCAGUGAUAUGUCGGAACGAGCAGGAACUACAAACCUAAUAAUCUCUGGGGAUCCCAAUGCUGAUGCUGACAGGAGAGACUGGGUGGAGGUUACAAAGGUUCAAGCUUGCCAGUAGGCCGAAGGUUGCAUCGUAGGAUACCUGGCCUGCACAAAUCACCAAACAAAGAUGACAUCAUAUUUCAGAAUGGUUCUCAACUAUUUUGCUUGUUAUUUUUCAGUCACUUGCACACACAAGUGUUAAAUACUGUGCCAGCUACUAUAACUGCUUACUGAAUUCUGAAAAGGAUGCCAAAGCCAGCUCCCAGUUAAUUUCUGUCCACUCCAUAAUUUUCAAUAGGAAGUCGUAACUUUUUCAUAGAGCCAAACCAAAGCAGAAAUGUAUGGCAAUAUAUGAUUAUAUAUGCAAGGACAUCCCACAAAUUAUACUGCUGAACUAACACUCGUGGGAUAAAAAGGACAUGCUAGCCUGACGAGUUAUUAGUAAAAGCAGCAUCAACACUCGAGCACAAACAGCUUACUCUGCUACAUGCAGAACGUACAAGGCCUACAGGGGUGCCUAACUACCUAAGGAUAGAACUGACCUAUUGGUUUCUAGCGCCACCAAAUCUUCUGAUGCUACCAAAAAGUUAUUGAAAGUUCUAUUUUAUUUUAGAUUGUACUCCCUCUGUAAAGAAAUAUAAGAGCGUUUAGAUAACUAAAGUAGUGACCUAAAUGUUCUUAUAUUUCUUUAUGGAGGGAGUAUUAAUUUGUAACAUAAUCUAGCAUGCUACAAAAAUUAAAAAUUAAAAAGGGCAGCCCAGUGCACGUAACUCCCGCUUGCGCAGGGUGCGGGGAAGGGUCCGACCACUUUUUGUCUUUUGUAUGCAGCCUUUCCCUGCAUUUCUGCAAGAGACUGUUUCCAGGACUCAACCUGUGACCUGAUGGUAACAAGGAACAGCUUCACCGCUGCGCCAAAUGCUACAAAAAUCAAACUCAAACAGAACACAUGUAACAAGCAACAUAAAGGAGAAAUUCUGCUGUCAAUAGUACCUCCCUCCCUCAAUCUCUCCAGGAUACUGUCAUUUGAGUUGCAUAACCAUGAGUUUGAUCCUUUAGGUAAGGAAUCAUACAGAGAUAAGAAAAGUAGGAACUUAGUCACUAAUCUUCAUAUAGGUAUAGGCCAACUCUCUUCGUGUGUUUACUGUGCCAUUGAUAAAAGAACAAAGCAUGCCUAGACAGGCGUUUAAUGUGCGCAUAAUUGCACUCAAGACGCAUGCCUAGUGCCUUUUCCCACUUAAACUCACACAACUUUCAUGCAGUGUCGCUGAUGCAGCCAACAUAGAAUGUUCUCUCUCUUAAUAAUCAAGUACUAGCACAUUUCUAAUUUCUAAGAAGUUGGUCAAAAUACUACUGUACCUGUUUUGGUCUUAACCCACAACAGAGAGUAAUCAGGAUUAUGCUUACUGUCAUCAGAAACCCAACAACAGAGAGUAAUCAUGACUAUGCUUACUACCAUCGGAAACCCCCUAAACCCUGGCUAUUGCUCAAAAUUUCUUCUCAUCGCUGACAAACAUUAGGGCACAAUAAUCCAGGCGCCCUUAGUUUAAAAGCAGGCUGUGACGCAUAUCAACACAUAAAACUCCCAAUCUAAAGUUUCUACCAUACGACAUGUAGUGCAAAGUCUACAUAAGAUUAUUUACUACAGUUGGGUAUCCUUGUCUGACUUUCAGGUAACCACAACAGACGUGCGCUGCAUUGCCUAGAACAAACUGGUGUGGGCUCAAUCUCAUUUGAUUAUGUUCAGUUUAAAUGAAACUCCCAAGCAAGUAAGGAACUGAUAGCCAGCAGCAAUUAUCACAAGUGAAACAUUUCAACAUACCUCAAGAGUCCACAAAUUGGAGAUCCACCGUCAAACUGAAAUGAUCAUAGAUCCCUUCUCCCACACUCCAGCUCGCCAUAAUGCAACUCCAUUCUGGGCACUGCACUUCUUCCACCAACCAUAUUAAAUCUGGGGCAGUUCCUGUGGGUUAUCCAUUGAUGCCCUCAAUAUCAUCCCAGCCCUCCGCUUCCGGUCAUCCUUUUGUUCCUCCUUCAAAAACGACGGGUCCUCCCUCAGAUCCAUGGAAUUUGAAUUGAGGGCCACUGCCAGGGGCUUCUUGUUUACUCCAAUCUUCAGGUGCACUGGUGCCCUCACCUUUGGAACAAUGCUCUUUUGGUUCUGAUUCUGGUCCCAACCUGUCCCAGAAUCAAGCUCCAUAGCAUUUGCACCCUGAAUUGCUGGUGCAAAUGCAUCAAGGACAGAAAGUUUCUUCCGCUCAGAAGGGAUAUCAACCUCUGACACCUCCUUGUCUCCAUGCGGCAAAGCAGGCUCAAGAAAAGGAUUUCUCUUGCUCCCAGCCGGUUGUAUCUCCUUCCCUUUGGCUGCACUAUCCUCAGAAACCGCUGGCCGAAACCCAUCAGCGCCCGCAAGGGCCAAUCGUUGCUGCAAACUGAGCAGCGACUUCUCGGCCUUCCUCCGCUGCCGCACCUGUUCGACCAUGUCCACCCUGUCCUUGGCCGCCUGCUCACUCCACACCUCUGUCCUGACGUAGGUGUGUGGGUCCGGGAAGGCCGGUAGCCACUCAGGAACAUGCCUCAUCCCAGUCUCCCUCUCAGCCACAGCAAAGCUGGGCGUGGGCUGCGGAGCGCGGGGUAUAGGGAACUUGGGCAAUGGACGCGUGAAUGGCACCUCGUCCUUGGAGUCGACGAACGCCAUGAGGUCCUUGACGACGCCUGAGCCAACGAGGCAGCGGCCUGAGGUGCCGGCCCCGGCGAAGCCAUCAAAGUCGGUGCCGAUUUCCUCGAGGGACUGGAUGAUGUCGUACUCGUUGGCGAGCGCGCGGCCGGCGAGGUUGGCGUGGAAGGCCGCGGCCCUCCCGAGGUGCGUGAGGUAGCGGAGGAGGACGUCGACGAGCGCGUCCACGGCCGAGCGGUGCGUGCAGUCGAAGCCCGCGGCCUCGAGCGCCUGCGCCACCGCCGCCCGCGCCACCGCCCUCCCGAACUCGUCCCCGCUGCCGCUGCCGCUGCCGCUGGUGCCCGCGCGGUCACUCAUACUGCUCCCUCUUGUCCUCCCGCCGCUCCCGACCGGUCAUACCGUCGAGCACCUGGCGGGCGUGGCGGUCCCAGAUCCGGAGCUAGGGUUAGAUCUCUGCUCGGGCCACGCCGUCCGCGCCACCAUCCAGGGCGAGCCGGGGCGAGCUAGACGCAGCCGCGCGCCGGAAUUGCGCGCCCGACCGCCCGCCUCGAGCUCGCGCCCCCGGCGGGAUUCGAAUUCGGUCGGCGCGAGACGACGCGGUGGCUGGGGGCGGGGAUUGGGCGGGAAAUCGGGAGCGGGGUGGGUUUGGAAGCAGGAGACCGUUGGGGAUUUAGGGUUUGGGGAGGGGAGCACGCGCGGGGGGUUUGGGUGGGGCUCUCUCUGAUCCGAGCACGCGGGCGGGGAAGCGAGGGGAGGUGGAGACGAAGGCCUUGGGGAGAAGGGAAGAACGCGUCCGCUUGACUUUAUAGAGGAGGGCGUGUGGAAAUCCCGUGUGCGCGAGCCGGGUGCGCGGAGCUCGGCGGGGACACGUGGCGAUGGACGGUUGGUUUCGCCUCGUGGAUUCUUUCCAGCGUGGACGCCGUGUUCUCCACGACGGGGUUCUGUUGCUCGGGCCUCCGCAGAGGAAGGCGGCCCAACUGGCCCAGUUACAAGUGAAAUAUGCCAAAGGACAACACUAAAAUAGUACAGACAUUUGCCUCAAAAAAAUAAAAAUAGUACAGACAUAAACUGGAAAAUAAAAACUAGAUUCCUCUGUUCUGUUAUCCAUGGUUGCAAUGAAUAAGACGGUAUGAGAAAGAACAAAAUUUUCAUGGCUGAACAGCCAGUGAUAAAGCAUUGGCAUGCUUCAUGCCAACAUGACUACAACCCAUAACAGGAUGAACUGAACAGAAGAACCGGACCGAUCACCGGCAUCUGUGCCGCUGGGAACAUGUGGCAAUGCAGCAUCUGGCAUGUCGAUUUAGGUCUGUUUGCCCCGUCAGUGGUUACGCUUGUGGACCUCCACGCUGCCUGCCGAUGCCAGGUUCGCGGCUCGGUUGCUGCCAAAGUUCUUGCGGUUUGAUUCCCUUGCUAUUCUUGAACCAAACUGCACAAAGCAUCAGAUGGAUUGUAAGUGAGGACACAUAUUGUUGUCUACAACUCCCUACGGUCCAUAUUACUUGUCGCUCAUCCGGAUGUAUCUAGAAUUGAAAUACGUCUAGAUACAUCCGUUUGAGCGACAAGUAUUAUGGAUCGGAGGGAGUACAAUCCAAAUAGUGUAACUUAUCAACACACAACACUACAACUAUUCUACUGAAGGAAACAAAUGGUUAUAAAUUAUGUACCUGGAUUGCUCGCUUUGGCAAAAAAGCAGCUUCUUGUAGACCCAGCAGCUUUGCAACCUGCAACAGUGUCACAUUAUUGAAUCAGCAAAAGGGGAUGGAGAUCAGAACAUAGUCUGUAACAACUUAAAUAUAGGUAGAGUUAAGAAAAACGGAAUGCAAACCUCUCUCAGAAUCUUCUUAUCACCCUUCCCCACGGGCUCAUCAAGUUUAGCGAUAUCCCAUAGUGGGAUUUCCAACAAUGUUCUGAUCACACUCUCAUCAAGAAAUGGAAAACGAGCCUGUCAUGGGCACAUGGGUACACAUCAGCCACUAAAAGCCUAUAGCCAAAGCUGAACUAAAAAAGCAUGACGAAGAUUACCUCCUUGCCAUGGUCAGAAAUGCACCUAUCAUCUCUUCCCAUGUUUCUUUUCCAAAUUCUUUGCACAUCUAGUCUCAUUUCCUCGUCCAGUGAAACCCAUCUAAAUAGGGGUACAAAAAAUGAAUUUAAUUUGUUUUUGCAAUAUCUGCAAAAAUAUCUCAAACGACAGUCACAUUAUUUAGCAAUGCAGUGCACUAAAUCAAUGCAUACAUACCCUCCAACUCUAUAUUUAGUACGAUGUCUACCAUAACCAGCACACUGCUCAUCAGCUCCAGAACCGACUAAAAGGACUCUAGAUGUUGACUUGUGUUUGUAGCGAUCACCAUCUUGCCCAUUCACCCAACCAUCCCCGCUAGCAGCUAACCAUAGGGCUACACCAAUGUUCAAAUCCUGUGCAAAAGAUCCAGCAUUUUAACUCAAAUAAAUCUAACAGGAGCAAAAGAGCAUAGUAAAGAUUUACCAACAGUCCAUCAUAUUUUCAAAUUAAACAGAUAUGUGUGAAUGAAUAGAGCUGCAGUGCUAAAUAUUAUCUUCUAUUGUCCAGUACGUGGUGCACACACAUGAAGACGAUUGUGUCAUAUGACGGAACUAUGGUGAACUGUGGUCUCAAGGAUGCCAAAGGGUGUUCAGAUUUCUACUCCCAUCAGUCCACCACUGAUCUUACUGCAGCCUCUUACACAUAAUCUCCCACAGAACCACUAGGAAGACACAACCACCAUAACAAACGCACAUAAUAACCAGGUAUUUUUAUAAGUAAAUAAAAACUUGGUUAGAAGGGAUGGGGAAUUCAGGGGGUCGGGAGUUGAUGGGCAUGCGGAUGUAAGUGAGAUGAGUACUGGAAGUUUAACGGUCCAAAUGUGCAUCGUUGCUCAAAGAAUGUUUAAUAAAUCUUAGUGUUUCAUCAUAAAUUGGGAUGUCUUAAAACUACAAAUCAAAUUCCUCAAGAGUUUCUCGUCUAUUGCAAAACAGGGUACCAGGACUAAAAGCAAACACCCAUUUCAAAUCCUACCUUAAACUUCCUCCUCUAAACUCCAUCUCCCAAUUACUCCCUCCGGUCCUUUUUACCUUGCGCAUAACACAAAGCCCGGAUACCAAGGAGAGGCAGCCAUGCAAAAAACUGGACAAUUUUACCCCCACAACAGUGUGAUCUGUGUAUACGGAUACCCUGCUGAAAAAUAACUGCAGACGCUUUGAUUGGCUGUCCUCCUUUGACUCCUCAUAGCGCAGGCCCCUGCAUGCAUGCUCUGCAUGCCAAUUGGUUACUGACAGGUGCUAAUUAAGGGAUGGGAUGGAAAGGGCAGUGGCAUGGAUGGAAAGACUAGCUGCGGUGGCUUAGUACGCAGACUAUUAAGGGAAAAAUUGAAAAAAUUUAUACGCAGACUAUUGAGGACCGGAGGGAGUAUUAACAAACAGGUAUAGUCAAUUAGACCAGACUAAACUCUUAUCUUUUAUUAUAUACCAAAUGUGAUCCCAAAAGAAAAGAUGGUCUCGAGUCUUGACGUUUGGUAUUGUCAUAUGCAAAGAAAAAAAAGAUGCAUGAUUCGAAGUUUACAGCACCAUUCCAAAAUCCAAAUCCAAGAUGAAUUAAAUCAAGUGACACUGCAUGGAUGACUCGAUCGUUCAUAUGUUGUUUGGCCUUCAGCCUUGUAAACCAAGGAAACUAACCUAAUGAAGCAUUAGUAGGAUAUAAGAAGAUACACACCAUAUAUGUAUUUGAAGGGUAUAUCAGUGACAUCACGUGUUCACUUUCCUCUUUCAAGUUGGCCAAAUUACUGUCAAUCUCAACAAGACGCCAUCUGCAAAUAAGACAGUGAAAUGAAUAUCAUAGUGAACACUUCAUUUAGUAUUAGUCUGACACUCUGAUACAAAUUUCUUUUUACAUGGCCAGACCAAUGCAUGAGCAUAAUAUGCUAGCAUGGUAAAAUAAAAAUGCAGGACAAAAAAAGUUAAUCGAUAAGUGAACGAUGCAUCACAAGGAUACAGUAUCAAUCACUCCAAUUAAAGCAACAGAACAUUUACAGUGAAUGAUGGGCAUGAACGAGGAACUAAGAAAGCACAACUGUAAAAUAAUGCAAGACGCAGAUGACAGAUUAUGCACAUUAGAGCAUAUUGAUCAUCUGAUGGAUAGAAGGCUUGCAAAGUAAACAACAUAAGGUUCAUCAUGUAUGAGGAAUUCAUUAGGCUAUAGCACAAGUGCCAGAAUUUGAGUCCAGAAUUCAUUUUGCACAGAAACAUGAUGAAAGUACUGUCUGUCUUUUGAUAUGUGCAAACCAGCAACAAUACAAAAUCAUCUAUGUUCAGCACCAGAUACAAGCCAUCAAGGCAAAGAAUAUGGAAAGUUCACGUCAAAUCACCUCCGCAGAGGGGAGAUUCUCUGAAGCUCCUUCAGUCCUGCCAGUGAAGAAACUCUAUCUGGAGCUAGCUGCCCAUCAAAACUGACAUUCAGCAAAUCAAUUGUCCCUGCGCAAAAUCUUAGUUAGCUUUCCUCAAAAACCAAAGUUUGUGGUGUACUAUGUAGCAGCUAACUUCCAUGCUAUUAUGUUAAAAAGAAGAUAGUGAUGAAUAAAAUGUAGUAGGAACACACUUGAACAUACAUUUGGAAUCAAGGCACUGGUCUAAUAAUGCUGGAAGUAUCAUGGAGUCCAGGCCACCAGAGAAAAGGAUUGCUAUCGGGGCCAACUCCGCUUCCUCGAGUUUAUUCAGAUCACCCUGUCCACAACAAGGACUCUGUAAAGUUGGCCUGAUAGACUAGUAACAGAAAAUGCAACAUGAAAAAGGUAGCAGCAUUUUCCUUCCAAGAAAGAAGAUAGAACCAUUUCAAUGAAGGUCUCAAAACACUGGUGGAGUUGUAAAAAAAGAAGGCAAUAUUACGAAUAUGUUGGUUACUCACCUGAUACAGUAUGUUCACAUUGGUUCGCAGCAUUACAGAUUCCCUUAGUGCAAUUAAUACUCUAUGUGCUGAAACAUGAUAGAAAAGUCUCACCAUUAGUAACUUCGUAAAGUUAAAAUAUCUCGGGUAAUUUUUAGCAAACAUCUGAUGCACCUGACUGUAUACCUGGAGAUAAGCAAAUAUCUGAUGGGAGAUCUCUUUUCUCAAACCCAUUACUUGUACUGUCUUCAGCUUCUCUAGAGUUUCUGAAACACGACGACAAGUGAUGGUUCCCUUUGUCAACCGAACCCAUAGCCGAAAUCAACCCAUCCACAGUAGGAACUGUCGAUUUUCUCUCCCAUCGUAUUAAAGUAUGCAACGAAGAAUCCGUCCAAUCAUGUUUUCUAACUACACAUCCUUCCUUCGUACAUGCGGCAUUAUUAUCAAGGUCUUUCAGGUGAAUGCUGUAUAUCCCACAAGGAAGCUCUUCCCAGUAGCAAACUUUGGUGUGGUCAGAAAAAUCAGGGUCUGCUCCUGCCUCCAAACCACUUACUUUUGUUGCUGCAAGAGUGAAGAAGAGUAUAUAUGAGAAUGGACAUGCACAAUUAGAUAUGAGUUACAACAUUGAAAGCAUGUACAAAUUCAGAAACAUCACAGUUUAUUUUCAGUUCAGGAAUGUUUUCACCUUUUGAAAAAGAUGAUGAACAAACCAUUGAUAAGAUACUAAGAUAGAUACAUCAACUCACGCUUAUCUUACCAGAGUUAUUCCUUGAAAACGAAGGGGGUGAUACUGAUGAUAAUAUAAAGCGUGAAUCAUCAGGAGUGGGCCAAUGUACCAACAGGCUUCUUCUCCCAAAUGCAUCCCGGCCAAACCACAAUGUUUUUGAGUCUGUCUGGAAGUUCAAUGCGACAUUGAUGUUAGGAAACAGAGUCUACAAUGAAAUGAAAACAAGCCAAACAUCACAAUUACCUGCCUGCCAAUAUAUCAAAGCCCAUGGUCCUUUAAUAGUGGAGAGGAUCCGUGGAACUGAUUUCCCUACGCUCUCACGGCAAGGGUAUGCUUCAUCUCUAUCAGCAACAUGGAGGUCACAGCAACAGCAAGAUUCCAGUGAAGACAAGAGCGAUUGUGUAUCAUUCUGAUCAUUGGCAAUGUUAAUUCCUCCAUAUAUCUCACCUUAUAAUGAAAAUAAUAAGAGCAGUGUGAAUUUUCAUGUAACGUAAUAACUCAGGUCCUUAGAUACUUGGAUUAAAGGAAAGCAACAAUAAUAUGCCAUUGAUACAUCGAUGUGUGAUUUUAACUGAACCAUCAGAAGCAUUUCCUGUGUACUGAAGUCAGAUAUAUGUGAAUCAUGCAAAAGGGAUUACGGUUGCUGUUGAAUGUAAAUCUGAUCAACAAACCAUUUAAGAAACAUAAUCAACUAAAUAUGUAACUGAAUAUGGUGGAACUUGUUAUAAGCACUACCAAAAAUGUGUAUGUCCCAGUAUACAACAGCAUAUAUGAAACAUAUCAGAAGACAUCGAUUUGUAAGGAAAAGAAAAAGGAAAACAAUACUGUCUUUUUAGUUUAUAAAAGCAUUACCAUUAUACACUAGAACACUUCCUGAUUGCGCCACCAGUGGCUGCGAAACCGGCUCAGCUCCCCUGAGCUGCAGUGUCGCGCCAAUGAAGCACAACUCCGUGGCACCAACACCACCACCAACCUUAUCUCCACCGUCACAAUCUACGCCAUCUGCAACACACAACAGUCGUCAUAAGAGAUGGUCAAAGCGACCAAAACUCCAAAGCAUUACAAAACAUCAGUGAGGGAACCACCACCUGUAGCACCUACGAUGGUGCCGUCCGCGCAAAGGUGGAACCUAUGGCAUCCAAGGCUGUCCGGGCCUCGCCGCCGCAGGGCCUCCUUGAGCUCACCCACGGACACGCCCUUCCCCUGCACUCACAUGUACAGCUUGGCUCGAUUAGGGUUUAGGGUCUGGGAAACCACAACGGGGAGGGAUUUAACUCUGCUUUGGUAGGUUUUAACGGAUACUAGUGACAGUACCUCGUCGGAGAACGGUGUUCCGGAUGCAGCGGCUUCGGCGGCGGCGGCGGUGGAGGGGGCGACGACUAGGCAGUCGCCGGAUAGGACGAGGGCUAUGCCGCACAUCGCUGACUUCGGGACCCGCUUGCCAGUGGGGCGCAAUCGCACGCUCCGGCGCCGUGCAUAACCAUUUUUUUCUCUUUUUUUAGGGUACCUCUUUUUUUCUUUUUGAUUGAGAGAAGACGGCGACGUGCAUAACCGGUUUCGCAGCACGAGGCCUUGGGUUUGGUUGAGGGCUUGGGCCCAACAAAGUGUGUGUUCGGUUUCUUUUUUACUCACCAAGCAUAAGGAAUAUUUUGGAAAGAUGAAAUAAAAGUUGAAGUUAUCGGUUAUUCGGAAUAUCACAUUGAUGUUACGAUCAAAGACCUCGCCGAAACACAGUUCAGGGCCACCUUUGUCUAUGGAGAGGCCCAGGUGAAUGAGCGUUACAAGACUUGGAACAUGCUUCGUGGCAUAGUGGGGGUCAGCAACCUACCAUGGGUGGCCAUUGGCGACUUUAACGAAGUCCUCCACGCGCAUGAGCACGAUGGAGUCGGUCAGAGAAGUCAAGCUCAGAUGGAUGCAUUCCGGGACACACUUGACACAUGUGGUCUGUCAGAUAUUGGCUAGUCAGGCUCCAACUGGACAUUCGAAAAGAAAGUAGCCGGAGGCACAUACACCAGAGUGAGACUAGAUAGAGGGGUCGCUACUUCAGAAUGGCUCUUGGCCUUCCCCACAGCCGAAGUAGAACACAAGCAGGCGGCUACAUCAGAUCACGUACCGAUUUUGCUCCGGUUGCAAGACGUGCAUGCAUGCAGGAGGGCCCCGCGGAUAUUUAGAUAUGAGCAAUGCUGGGAGCGAGACCCCACGCUCAAUAAUGCAGUGAGUGCUAGGUGGGCUAGAAGCCAAGGAGACACAGUGGAAGCACUGAAUACAAAACUGCAGAACCUCUCUGGCGAUCUGGGAGAUUGGGAACGCAGCCACUUUGGGAACAUCCGCCAGGAGAUCAACUGUUUAAAAAAGCAGCUGCAAGUUUUGCGCGAGAUCCAAGGGCGAUCUGGGCCAUCGCAUGCAGAGGUUAAAGUGAUGGAUAGACUGGUAGAGUUAUACCACCGCGAGGAGAUAUUAUGGCGUCAGAGAGCUAGACUGGACUGGCUAGUACACGGAGACAAGAACACUUACUUUUUUCAUUUACGAGCCAGCCGGAAGAGACGUAAAAACCAGAUUAAAGCUCUGUUACGCCCAGAUGGAGAGAUGACAGAAGAUACCAUCCAGAUGGAAGCCCUGACAAACACUUUUUAUAAAGAUCUCCAUACGUCUGAAGGUGUCCAAAACAUGCAGCAGGUGCUCGAUACAGUUCCAUGCAAGGUCACUCCGGAGAUGAACGACAUGUUAAAUGCACCAUACACACAGGCAGAGGUCAAAACGACACUGUUCCAAAUGUUCCCGACAAAAGCACCUGGCCCGGAUGGUUUUCCAGCGCAUUUCUUCCAGCGGCACUGGGAGGUAUGUGGCGAUGAAGUGACACAAGUGGUCCUUAAAAUAGUGGAGGGGAAGGAGUCGGCUGAAUGCAUCAAUGAGACCAUAUUGGUUCUGAUUCCGAAGGUAAAGAAUCCAACUAUGCUGACCCAAUUCCGCCCUAUUAGCUUAUGCAAUGUUUUAUAUAAAAUUGCUUCGAAGGUAAUAUCUAACCGCCUGAAGGUAGUGUUACCUGAUAUAAUAUCAGAAGAGCAGUCUGCUUUUGUGCCAGGGAGAUUAAUAACGGAUAAUAUCAUCACGGCUUAUGAGUGUUUGCAUUUCAUGAAGAGGAAUAAGGCGAAGAAACAUCAAUCAUGUGCUCUGAAGCUAGACAUGAUGAAGGCCUAUGACAGGGUUGAAUGGUCCUACCUGCAAGCUAUAAUGCUCAAGCUAGGCUUUACGGACAGAUGGGUACAAAUAGUCAUGAGUCUUGUCUCUUCGGUGAAAUUUUCAGUAAUGUUCAAUGGCAAGAGACUAGAGGAAUUCAACCCUACCAGAGGUAUAAGACAAGGGGACCCGAUCUCUCCAUACUUGUUUUUGUUGGCAGCAGAGGGCCUUUCGUGCCUCCUAAAAUCUAGAAGUGAGUCAUCCAAUUUGCAAGGUUUACAAGUGGCACCCUCGACGCCUUCGGUGAACCAUCUUUUAUUUGCUGAUGACAGCCUGCUGUUUUUCAAGGCAAAUGGUAUGGGAGCAACCGAGGUGAACCUCGUCUUGGACAUCUAUUGUCAAGCUACAGGUCAGAGGAUAAAUUACUCCAAAUCAUCUAUUUUUUCAGUAAGGGAGUUCCCGAUGGGACAAGACAGGAGAUCAAAACGUUGCUACACGUUCCAAAUGAGACUCUCAAUGAAAAAUACUUGGGUAUGCCAUCUGAUAUUGGUUCUUCAAAGAACGGGUCGUUCAAAUAUUUUGAAGGAUCGAUUAUGGAGUAAAAUUCAGGGUUGGAUUGAAAAUACCAUGUCAGCGGCCGGUAAGGAGGUGUUGGUGAAAGCGGUUGCCCAGGCUGUUCCUGUAUAUUCUAUGUCAUGCUUUAAGCUUCCGAGGGGCCUUUGUGAACACCUCAACAUGCUUAUCAGGAAGUUUUGGUGGGGUUCCAAACAGGGACAACGGAAACCACAUUGGGUGUCUUGGAAAACAAUGACGCAACCAAAGAGCAUGGGGGGUCUCUGCUUUAAAGACUUUGAGCUUUUUAACAUGGCUAUGCUUGCUAGGCAAGCCUAGCGACUACUACAAAACCCGGAAUCGCUUAGUGCCAGAAUUCUAAAGUGCAUCUACUACCCAAACACAACAAUACUUGAAGCGGUCCUAGGAAACCACCCGAGUCAAAUUUGGAGGGCAAUGAUAGAAGGAAGAGAUACGCUCAAACUGGGUUUGAUUAAGAGGAUUGGCAAUGGAGGUGACACGAGGAUCUGGGAAGAUCAAUGGCUGCCACGGGGCGAGAUGAUGCGCCCCUAUGGAUGUAUAUCACAGAAUCCGCCCCCCCUUGUUUCGGAGUUGAUUGACUCAACGUCAGCCAAGUGGAACACACAAAAAGUUAAUGAGUUCUUCAUGCCUAUGGAUGCGAAGAUCAUACUACAAAUCCCCAUAUGCACAAGAAACAUCCCCGAUUUCUGGAGCUGGUUUUUUGACAAGAAAGGAAACUUUACAUUUCGUUCAGCAUAUAACAUGCUCGUGGCAAUCCGGCAGAGAAGGGAAGCCUGGCUCGAGGGGUAUGCCGGCCCGUCUAACUCGGCCAAAGAGGAGAAGGAGUGGAAGUUGCUGUGGAAGACGGCGGUCCCUGGAAAAGUCAGAAUGUUCCUUUGGCGUUUAUCACAGCACUCAAUACCCACAAAUGAUGUAAGAGCACACAGGCACAUGUCGGACUCCAGUGCAUGCGGAAUAUGCGGGGCGCCAGAUUCAUGGAAGCACUCUCUAGUCGAUUGCACCAUGUCAAGGUGUACGUGGGCACUAGUUGAUGAAGAACUCGGACAGCAAAUAGCAGCCACCUCUGAACCCAAUGCGAAACAAUGGUUAUUCACACACAUGCAGUCAUUAUCUCAUCCGCUGUUCGUAAAACUUGCGGUCACGCUAUGGGCAAUCUGGGCGGCUAGGAGAAAGGCCAUCCAUGAGGGUAUUUUCCAAAGCCCCCAUGCUAUACACUCUUUUGUGGUCCGAUUUAUUCAGGAGCUGGAGAUGAUUCGGGAAGAAGGAGGAAGAGAGGUUCGGGCCAACCCAGCAGCUCGCACUACUACAGCAAGAAGGCCAAAAGCUCCACCACAUGGCCACUGCAAGAUACACGUCGAUGCCGGGGUGCGACCGGGUCAAAGAGGAGUGGCAGUAGCAGUCUGCCGGGAUAGCGACGGGAACUACUUGGGGAGCUCAGCCCUGUCAAUUCACGGUCUCCACGACCCUGCUACUUUGGAGGUCAUCGCAUGUAGAGAGGCUCUCGCUCUUGCUUCGGACCUGAACGUCCAUCAAUUUGUCAUUUCCUCUGAUUCUAAACAAGCCAUCGGCGACAUCAAUGGGGGAGCUAUGGGAGACUACAGGGCUAUUAUCAAGGAGAUAAAGCUUCAAGCUUCAACUUUUACUUGUUCUUUCAUUUACGAAAGUGCUGCUAUCAAUUUUGAAGCACAUAGUUUAGCCAAAUAUGUACUUAAUCUCGGUCAGGGGCGCCAUGUGUGGUUUGGCCAACCCCAUGAUCCGAACCGUAUCCCACUCCAUGUGGCUUUUGAUGAAUAAAGUUUGGCUAAACCCUCAAAAAAAACCAAGCAUAAGGACAUCUCCAAGGUUGCGAAAUCACUAAUUAAGGAGUACUAGUAGAGUGCCCGUGCGUUGCCACGGGCUCUUGAAAUAGUUUACAAGAAUUACAUGUUCAAUUUCACACGUACAAACAAAUAUAACCCAAACACAAUUAUUGAAUAAUUGAAGUCCAUUUUUGCAAUAUAAAUUGAUAACAAAAAGAAAGAUUAACGACUUGUCCAUGUAACAAACUGAGCGAUGUUCGACCAUAACAUCUAUUACAAAAUUAUCAAUAUCUAGAUGAUGUGCUUAAAAAAUUCUUUCACAAUAUCAGAAAAGUUGUCUUUAGCUUCAUUCGCACGAUGUUUUAGUAAGUAUAAUAAAAAUUGUUUCCUCAACUCAUAUCCAUCCUGCACAAACAAUAUAUGUAGUUAGUAUAAAAUUUUUACGCUGAAGGUCCUAAAACAUGUAACAGACAAUACUCACCCCGCAAACCGGCUUGACCAAUUCUUUACCGUUCCACCGGAGCAUAAAAUGAAAAACGAAAUAGCCAGACACAUUCCUGCAAUUUUUUAAAUUAAUAAUAUAAAGAAUAUAGUGAUAACAAAAAUAAAUGUUUUUAUUAUGAAUUCAUUACCCGUCUAUUCUCAUUGAAAUACCAAACGAAAAUAAAUGUUGUCAUUUAGAUAAAUCGGAAUUCCAACCAGGCCGCUUUAUUUCAUGUGCUUCUUUGAAAUCCCUUGCAAAACUUCUAAAUUUCAGUGCAUGCCUUCCUCUAACGAUUGUGAUGUUUGAAUAGGCUCCAUAAUAUAUAGACGACGUGCCUCUUUGUCGAUGACGUAUAAGAUGUAUCGGCCGAUAGAUGCAUAGGGAAGAUAAAUCUACAAGUGGAGCUGUUAGAAACAAUAAUAAACCAUGAUCCCCCGCAAAAAAAACAAUAAACGAUGAUAACAAUAGACAAAAUACUUUACUUAUUAUGUUACACGAUGAGAUGUCGUUGUCUAUCCCAGGCCAACUAUCAAAUAAUGGUGCCAACGUCUGGAUAGUUUUCUUCUCGCAAAACUUCUGACCUCGUGUUGACUGUAGCAUCAUGGACUAAGUAAAAAAAGAAAUAUUCUUUCAACAUGUUGAUACUAAUGCUACAUGCAAUGAAGAGUUGCGAUAACUUACACAAAAUCUUAGAUCCAUAUAGUGUAUAGGAGGGUCUUUGAACAAUACUCUCUCGUCAUAUGCCAGUAUACACACGACGGUGUUGAAGCAAUCAUUGUCUAUAGGCUGCUCCAUGUUAAGUAUGCACUGAAGUUUCUUAAGACUUAAGCCCAUUGGAUGGGGUGUCGAGCUCCGGACCCAUUACUUCCUAAAAAUUGGAUGGUAAGAAGAAUAAUAAUGUACAUGCGCACAUUAAAUAUUGAUACAUGAAACUUACUCCAAACACCCGACAUCAUCGAUCGACAUGAUGUAGUUGCAGAGGCCGGCAAGUAAUUCAUGUUAGUCCGUGGGUAUGAUAGUAAUUGGGGUAAGACGUUUGUCUUUGACUACGUCAGAUGGAUUCUCGAGGAUCUCGAGAUCAUCAUUAGCUAAAGUUUCUUCAUCGUCCGGUUGAUGGUACAUGGGACCUCCUUUUAGCUUAUUCAGCUAGACAACUAAUUUUCGUCGAAAGUGUUUCAUAUCUUCCUACAAAAAAUAUAUAUAUAUAUAUAUAUUGAUAUAAUAUUUUGAGAUAAAAUAAUGAGAUAAUGUAUAAAAAUAAAAUACCUGGAUGAACUGGUCUGAUAGUGCAUCUGAUGUCCAAUAUUCCAUAUAAUUUAGCAUAAACAGUCCACAUGAUACGCUAUAAUAUUAUAAAAUAAUGCUUUAGAAUAUCACCCAGACGAACCAAAUAACCAAACCGUUGUAACAAGUGCUUACCCAUCAGUUUGUAUUACCUCAUAAAACUGCUCUACGACCGUCCAUUUUGUAACAUUGAGAUCGGGCCACUUAUGAUCUUUGUUAAACUCCGGACUAUGCUCUAGUAACUAUUUUAUAUAUGAAAAAUAUUAGGGAUUAAGAUCAAACAAAACAUAUGUUAAGAUAAGAAAAAACAAUAGAUGGUUACCGUAGUAGCAAGGUCAUUGUGUUUGACCCAAGAACCAAGUGAGUCAAAUACUUGAAUCUCACGUUUUUCGCAUUGGCGACUGCUAUUAUCCAAUGGUAGCCCAGAAUGUUAAUCGGAAGGAAUAACUGUUGUAAAUAUCAUACAAGUCGGAGUCAUAAUUAGAUAUAAAUAUUAAUAAAUCAUUAUACAUAUGAAUUAAAUAAAAACAAUCCAUAAUUAUAUGCAUGGAUAACGAGACAAGACUAACCAUAAGUUGAUGUAGAUAAGUAUUAACAUGAUGUAUGAUGUGACGAUAUUUUGAUGGGUCUAUAUUUUUUUUCGUAUUCUUUUAUCUGGCCAAAUACGAACAUGUUAAUAAUGUGUACCUUUUCACCCGCUACAAUGCAUAUAAAUAAAUCAAACACAGAUAUCAAACGGGGCGCCCGGUAGGCUUCCUAAAAUUCAUCCAUGUGGAUAGUCCGAACUCCCUCGAAUAGUGGCAGCGACAAUACCAUAGAGUAAAGAAUCUCAUCUCUCUCUCACACACACUUUUUUUUGUCAAACAUCUCUCUCCCAUUGGGAUCUCUCUCACACACACUCCCUUCUUUAUGUAUCAGUAGCAGCGGCAUGAACAUUAACAGUAGUGUAGCAGCAACGACACGUAUAUCAACAGUAGUGUAGUAGAAGUGCCGCCCCUAUGCACGGGCCGUCUCCCUGCCCUUCCCCGCUUGAGCGACGCUAUCCCCUACCUUUCCCGCCACAUUUGCUUGGCAUUGUGCUCCCUCUGCUUUCCCUUCUAUCUAGCUCAUAAAUAAUAGCAAAGGAUAUAGGAUUUAGAAUGCUUAAGGUCUAAAAUACUUUAAUCUCUACCAACUGGAGGCACAGAUAACUACAUUUAAAAGCAAGCACAGAUAACUACAUUUAAAAGCAGGAACAUAUGCUAUCUUCAUCAGUAAGUAAAGAGUAAAAAAGCAGAGGACCAAAACCAAAUAAUUAGGCAUGAAUGUUAUAGGUCAUUUAAAGGCACAAUGAAAAUGUUGCAAACCAUUGUACUGCUACCACUUACAAAAUUUUAACAACAAUUCUCAACUCCGCCAGCAUGCAGUAUAUUUAUUACUAUAGGAGACUGGAUACAAAUUUCUUUGUAAAGGGUUUCAUACACUCUUGUUAAUGUGUAAGUACAUCAAACAUGUUUGAACAAGCAGGAAUGAUGAGGUAAAAUCAAACCAUGGAUAUCAGACUACCAACUCCUCUUUAAUAGUAGAGAUAAUUCUGAUGCACAUGAGACGGUGUCAUUAUUUGUUUACCCGUUAAAUCUCUUUUCCUGUUGUUCCUCCUCUAUCCACUAUCUCCCCCUCUCUUAUCCAAACUUAUCACCACUAUCAAUGGUGCAACCAGCUCUGACCACACCACAUUAAAUAGAUUCACUUAAGCAAACAAACAAAUUUGGUUUCUAAAUAACACUACUUAUUGGGAAUGUUGUCCGUAUGUUCCAUUUUAACCAGGAAGAAGUGAUAUGUUGUUGUCUUAAAUCCACAUUACCCUACAAGCACUAACCACAUAAUUUGUGGGUUCCUUUCCCAUAGGAUCAUUACUUUCUCAGAGGAUCAUUAGAUAUAUGUAGUAUCUUACAACUAAGAAUGAAAAAGUUAGGGUAAGGACAACAUAACAAGUUGAAACACGGACGCAUCAAGAGUUUGGUAAAGCAAGACACCAUUUUAUUUCAGAUUGAGCCUCAUAAUGGAAUUUAAAAACUUCCAUGAAACUUGAGCAUUGUAUGCUCUUGUCCACGAAGAGAGAUAUAGCCUUAUAGCACCAGCAUGCCUGUCUAUGUUACUCCUCAAGCCAAACUAUAGAACUUUUAUCUGUCGACAACCUGUCCAAAGACACUGGCUAAUUACCCACAAACUGUCCAUUCCGCCACAAAUAUGCACAGGCAUGCAUCACCUUCCUCUUUGGUCUUCUCAUUCGCGUGAACAUCGUCGACAUUGCCCACCAUGCUUGCUCGCAUCUACUUGCUCCUUGUCAAGUACAUCCACGCUUCCAACUCUCACCUCAUCACCAUGCUCGUUGAUGCAUAUGUCAAGUCCAGCCUCGUCACACAUGUGGGUGUACAAUUUUCGUCUGACACAUGAAUGGCCAUUGCCACGCCCUUCCUUCUCGUUUGUUACGCC
Molecule: long non-coding RNA, 34374 nt
Filed under: Triticum aestivum (bread wheat)
Lineage: Eukaryota; Viridiplantae; Streptophyta; Magnoliopsida; Poales; Poaceae
Description: long non-coding RNA (TAES_LNC005210)
Rfam family: MIR1120/MIR1122 microRNA precursor family (bases 20417-20531)
Source: RNAcentral